UACGGAGGGGGCUAGCGUUGUCCGGAAUCACUGGGCGUAAAGGGCGCGUAGGCGGCUCAUGAAGGCUGUGGUGAAAGUCCGGGGCUCAACCUCGGAUCGGCCGUGGCGACUCGUGGGCUGGAGCACUGUAGAGGCGGGUGGAAUUCCGGGUGUAGCGGUGGAAUGCGUAGAGAUCCGGAAGAACACCAGUGGCGAAGGCGGCCUGCUGGGCAGUUGCUGACACUGAGGCGCGACAGCGUGGGGAGCAAACAGG
RNAcentral lists this ribosomal RNA (253 nucleotides) under uncultured bacterium. RNAcentral's name for it is "partial 16S ribosomal RNA". It matches the Rfam family "Bacterial small subunit ribosomal RNA", at positions 524 to 776 of the family's 1533-position model. The record is from RNAcentral.